ACUCAAAUGAAUAGACGGGGGCCCGCACAAGCGGUGGAGCAUGUGGUUUAAUUCGACGCAACGCGAAGAACCUUACCUAGGCUUGAACUGCUUCGGAAGAUCAGCAGAAACGUUGGUCGUUCCGCAAGGAAUCGGAGCAGAGGUGCUGCAUGGCUGUCGUCAGCUCGUGUCGUGAGAUGUUGGGUUAAGUCCCGCAACGAGCGCAACCCUUGUCCUGUGUUGCCAUCAUUUAGUUGGGCACUCUCAGGAGACCGCCAGUGAUAAACUGGAGGAAGGUGGGGACGACGUCAAGUCAUCAUGGCCUUUAUGUCUAGGGCUACACACGUGCUACAAUGGUCGGUACAAUGCGCUGCAAACCCGCGAGGGGGAGCCAAUCGCAAAAAACCGAUCUCAGUUCGGAUUGCAGGCUGCAACUCGCCUGCAUGAAGCUGGAAUCGCUAGUAAUGGCGUAUCAGAAUGACGCCGUGAAUACGUUCCCGGGCCUUGCACACACCGCCCGU
RNAcentral lists this ribosomal RNA (500 nucleotides) under uncultured bacterium. Its description in RNAcentral is "partial 16S ribosomal RNA". It matches the Rfam family "Bacterial small subunit ribosomal RNA", at positions 899 to 1397 of the family's 1533-position model. The record is from RNAcentral.